UGAAAUGAUAUUAAUGGCCACUUUAUCACAGCAUUGUUUAUUAGUUUAUUUCACAAUCCCCCACGCUGGAUUUAGCAUCAGGCAUUGAAGUUCUGCUUGUGAAGCUGUCAAACACAAACACACCCUCAGGAGUUUCUUCCACUGCUUUACUAUAAAAACAGACGCUCCAGCUCAAUCUGCACUCCAGCUUUCACACACGACUGAAGACAGGAGGAAUCAACAACUGAAUCUCCAUCUAACAACACUGAAGAUGGGAAAGCGGCUCGUAUCGGGGUUGGAUGUGACCCUGAUGCUGUUGUUUGCACUGGUCAGUUCACUGUCAGCUGGGGAAGCAGAGACGAUCAGAGAAGUCAGUGGGGAGGCCGAAUCCUCAAACA
Molecule: long non-coding RNA, 377 nt
Organism: Megalobrama amblycephala (Wuchang bream)
Lineage: Eukaryota; Metazoa; Chordata; Actinopteri; Cypriniformes; Xenocyprididae
Exons: 3
Source: RefSeq, a predicted model, not a curated record